GCGAGAGUGGCGGAAUUGGUAGACGCACCGGCCUUAGGAGCCGACGGCUAUGCCGUAGGGGUUCGAAUCCCCUCUCUCGCACCA
Molecule: transfer RNA, 84 nt
Filed under: Candidatus Adiutrix sp.
Lineage: Bacteria; Pseudomonadati; Thermodesulfobacteriota; Desulfarculia; Candidatus Adiutricales; Candidatus Adiutricaceae
Description: tRNA-Leu
Rfam family: tRNA
About the family: Transfer RNA (tRNA) molecules are approximately 80 nucleotides in length.
Source: RNAcentral